CGUAGGUGGCAAGCGUUGUCCGGAUUUACUGGGCGUAAAGGAUGCGUAGGUGGAUAUUUAAGUGGGAUGUGAAAUACCCGGGCUCAACUUGGGUGCUGCAUUCCAAACUGGAUAUCUAGAGUGCGGGAGAGGUAAGUGGAAUUCCUAGUGUAGCGGUGAAAUGCGUAGAGAUUAGGAAGAACACCAGUGGCGAAGGCGACUUACUGGACUGUAACUGACACUGAGGCAUGAAAGCGUGGGGGAGCAAACAGGAUU
This 255-nucleotide ribosomal RNA is filed under the name uncultured bacterium. RNAcentral describes it as "partial 16S ribosomal RNA". It matches the Rfam family "Bacterial small subunit ribosomal RNA", at positions 526 to 779 of the family's 1533-position model. The record is from RNAcentral.